CCGGUCCAAUUGAAUUUGCUUCAUUGUACUUCAUUGAACUGUUACUAAAGCAGUGUUAAAGUGGCAUUAAUGCUAUACUAAAGCUAUUCUAAAACUAUACUAUAGUUAUACUAAAAAAAUACUAAAGCAGUAGUAAAUUAGUACUGCAGUAGAAUCAACAUGUCCCAUGUUUUCAUAAAAUGUUUACUUUCUGCUGCAUUCUGUGUUUACUACGGACAAAGCAUCAUUAUCACUUGUUUUAAUGAUGUAUUGUUUGUUUGUUUAGCUCAUGCCUUUGCAUUGCUCUACUGGUGGCUGGGAACAGCAUGGCACAGCCUGACCUCUGGAAUCUCUCUGCUUGAUGUUUUUCUGCUCAGCAGACACACUGCAUAUGGGAGGAAGGCUAUCUUCCUCUUCCUCCUCUUGCUGCUUUUCGCCUGGGGCCUACCCUGUUAAGUGUUGGGCAUUCCGUGGUCCCCAAAGAUUACUCACAUUACCUUGGAACACAUCCCUCAUAACUUGUCAUCCACUGGACACAUCAACAUUGCUCCAAAGGACUUCACCGUUCAUGCACUGACACAUGAAAACGAGGAAGGGAAACCUCUUGGAACAUUUACUUAUGACCAAGAUGGAGAACCCAUCCAGACCUACCAACUUCCUGUAAGAAAGUUGUACAGUAACUCACCAAAAUAUAGAAAGAUGGAAAUAUUUACACAUCA
Long non-coding RNA from Electrophorus electricus (electric eel), 698 nucleotides. RefSeq lists it as uncharacterized. The record is from RefSeq and is a predicted model, not a curated record. Lineage: Eukaryota; Metazoa; Chordata; Actinopteri; Gymnotiformes; Gymnotidae.